Non-coding RNA from Cicer arietinum (chickpea), 792 nucleotides. Lineage: Eukaryota; Viridiplantae; Streptophyta; Magnoliopsida; Fabales; Fabaceae. The record is from RefSeq and is a predicted model, not a curated record.
GCAUAAUCACAUUGUUCAUAUGGCAAGUACAAUAUUUAGUCUUAUCUCAAAAGUCUUGCUUUGCAUUAUAUCAGCACUAGGAAGAAAAACACUUGAUACAAGUAAUAAUACAUUUACAGCAUACUCUCCAGUUAACAAUGAUGGUAUCUGCAAGACUAUAGUAGAAACACAAGAUUACACAUGUGAAGAACAUAAGCUUCAGUCCAAUAUGUUUACAAAUCUACAGGUCAAAAAAUGCACUACGCAGGUCAUUUUCAGGGGACUCUAAUGGCUUUUGCUGCUCUAUCUCAAGACCAACUUUUGAAUAUGUUGAGAUCAGUUGCAUUACUUAGUCCAAUUGCACAUAUGAAUCAAAUUCCUUCAAGUGCAACAAAACUUGUUGCUGACCUCUUUUUAGCUAAUGAUGUAUACUGGUUAGGCCUCCGUGAAUUCAUUCCUAAUAUGUUGGAAUUGUUGCAUAAAUUCUUCUAUGAUAGAUUUCUAUCUUGAUCAACCAACAACAACAAAGAACUUGAUCCAUCUAUUUCAUAUGAUCAGAAGAGGAUCUAUAGCAAAGUAUGAUUAUGGUAAUACACUACAAAAUAUACAACACUAUGGACAACCAAUUCCUCCAACUUAUGACAUGAAGAAAAUCCCAAAUGAUUUUCCUCUUUUCCUAAAUGACCUCAAAGAUCAUGAUGUGAACAAGCUUGUGGUAUUGUUCAACGAAGAUUAUGCACAUGUUGAUUUUAUUAUGGCUGUAAAUGCUAAACAAGUUGUUUAUGAUCCUAUGAUAGCUUUUUACCACGCUAA